RNAcentral lists this transfer RNA (92 nucleotides) under Candidatus Parepulonipiscium sp. PG-Nele67M_MBin01. RNAcentral describes it as "Epulopiscium sp. Nele67-Bin001 tRNA-Ser". It matches the Rfam family "tRNA". Rfam says of the family: Transfer RNA (tRNA) molecules are approximately 80 nucleotides in length. Their secondary structure includes four short double-helical elements and three loops (D, anti-codon, and T loops). Lineage: Bacteria; Bacillati; Bacillota; Clostridia; Lachnospirales; Lachnospiraceae. The record is from RNAcentral. RNAcentral also lists the same sequence under 1 other name.
GGAGAAGUACUCAAGUUGGCCGAAGAGGUGCCCCUGCUAAGGGUAUAGGUCGGGAAACCGGCGCGAGGGUUCGAAUCCCUCCUUCUCCGCUA